GCCACCCUGAGACCGAUGCUAAGCAACAAUGGGGUCACGGCAAUAACCCACGUCUUCUUUCUCUUCCCUUUCUCCCCUGUGCGCUCACAUGAAGAGGAGUAUGUGGAGGAAGAAGAGGAAGAAUGGCUUGAGGAAGAAGACGGUCAGGAGGACCAGGUAGAUGAGGAGGAACAGGAGACAGAGGAAACCACGGCAGAAGAACAAGAAGAUGAAACGAAAGCACCAGGAGAAGGUGGUGAGGGGGACCGGGAGCAGGAGCCCGGGGAAGGUGAAUCAAAGCCCAAACCCAAGCCCUUCAUGCCCAACCUGGUGCCUCCCAAAAUCCCUGAUGGUGAGCGCCUGGAUUUCGAUGACAUCCACCGCAAGCGCAUGGAGAAGGACCUGAAUGAGCUGCAGGCCCUCAUUGAAGCCCACUUUGAGAGCAGGAAGAAGGAGGAAGAAGAGCUCAUCUCCCUCAAAGACAGGAUCGAGCAGCGGAGGGCAGAGAGGGCAGAGCAGCAGCGCAUCCGCAGUGAGAGGGAGAAGGAACGCCAGGCCCGCAUGGCUGAGGAGAGAGCUCGCAAGGAGGAAGAGGAGGCACGGAAGAAGGCUGAGGAAGAAGCUCGGAAAAAGAAAGCUUUCUCCAACAUGCUGCACUUCGGAGGCUACAUGCAGAAGUCAGAGAAAAAAGGUGGCAAGAAGCAAACGGAGCGGGAGAAGAAGAAAAAGAUCCUCAGCGAGCGGCGGAAGCCUCUGAACAUCGACCACCUCAGCGAAGACAAGCUGAGGGACAAAGCCAAGGAGCUGUGGCAAACCAUCCGUGACCUGGAGGCUGAGAAAUUCGACUUGCAGGAGAAGUUCAAGCGGCAGAAGUACGAGAUCAAUGUCCUCCGAAAUCGCGUCAGUGACCACCAGAAGGUGUAAGUACCCAGCCUGGCCGAGUGCCCUUCCUCAUCACUCAGUUUCACCCCAUGUUUCUCCCAGCUGCCCCACGCCUCAUCCUUACACACCUGCAGGGACCUCAGACUGUGCCACUGUGCUCCCACUGAGAAGCCCUCACCGGCCCCCAGCUCCCCCCUGCCCCCAAACAGACCCACGUAGAGCCCCGUGUGUCCUGCAGGCCACACAUACCUCCAGCUGCCCCAUCCCUUCUGUAUCCCUACCCACCACCUCAGGGAAGGACCCCCCCCAAGCUUGUAUGGGAGUGGAGAUCCCAUGGGCUGUGGGAGCUGUGCAGUCCCACAAAAACUUGGGAGCUGGUCCACACAUCCCUUGCACAACACUGGGGGACCUAGGGUGGAGGUGAGCAUUUAACCUGUUCUCCCAGGAGCACUGUGUUGCUCUCUUUCCCCUGUCUCAUCCUGCAUGAGCUGUUCCUAGCCUUCCCGUCAGUCAGUUAGCAGCAUUUCCCCCACUUACACCAAAUCUCUCUUCUCUUCUGCCCUCCCGUGGCCUGGUGCUGCAGCAAAGGGUAAGUGCAGGCUGCAUGCCUCCCAUCACACCUGUGCUGCAUGGACACCUGGGGCUGACCUUGCACCAGAAGUAGGGCUGAGGGAAGGACUGUUCUGGGAAAUGAUAUCAGAGUUGGGUUGGUGACUUUCAGGAUGCCCAAAAUGCCCAUUGCUGACUGUCCAAGUCACCACCACCAUCACCUCCUCCUCCACCUCCCUGCUAGCACAUGCCCAGAGCACCUGUUCCCCCAGUUCUGGAUAAGCAGCUCAGUACAGCCAGUCCCAGCUUCUCAGCCCCAGAAGAGGGAUCCCACAACAAUCACAAAACCCCUACAGCUGGAGGUCCUUUAUUUAUGCUCACUGGGAGGGAGGAGCAUAAUGAGGCCAUGGGGGCUGGUUGGAAACACCUGGUAGAACAUGAGCUUGUUCCUGAAGAGUCCCAAACCCGCUGGCUGGCUCAGCCCCCACAUUAGGGAAGGUGCUACUGAAGAUUUGCCUUGCAAGCAUCAACCAGCAAUAACUUGGUUCUCUUUUGAGGGUGCUCUAGCAGUAUCCAUCUCUCUCCUCUUUUCAUUUCCAUUAACACAUUUUGCCCGCUCUGCUUCCCAUCUAGGUCAAAGGGUGCCCGUGGGAAGACCAUGGUGGGUGGCCGGUGGAAGUAGAUGGCUCUGAAGGCAGAGGCAGCAACCACUGGCAGGAACACUGAGAUCUGAGACCCAGCGGGGGCCCAGCAUUGGAUCCAUAAGCUGGCAAUGGAAGUGCUGCACUGCUUGCCCUGAUCUGGAGCUCUGAGCUCUGUUUUUCACCCUGUCAGAGCUCAGUGCUCUCUGCACAUGACAUUGGUGGAUGCUCCCCGAGCAUCACAAAUCGAUGACGUUGCCCUACAGGUGGUGCUCUGCUGGUUUUGGAAGCGCUGCGAGCCCUUUAUCUGCACACGUAAAUAAAUAGAGUUGUGCCUUUGCAGAGCCAUAAAUCAAACCUUGAUAUCAUGACAAAGACAGAACGCUUUGAUCCAGGGCAGCACUUUGAUCUCCUGUGAUGAACCAGAUGUUGGUGAUUAUCUGUUGAAAUAGAGCAGUAAUUGUCACUUUUCAGGCAGUGUUGCUGCAAUGUCAGCCCGUUGGCUGUGGGCCAUGGCACACCUCAAAAUAAAGCAGGCAGAACAUGGAUAUCAAUUA
This is an RNA transcript of Tympanuchus pallidicinctus (lesser prairie-chicken), 2608 nucleotides long. It is a transcript of the gene named troponin T2, cardiac type, with no coding region annotated. The record is from RefSeq and is a predicted model, not a curated record. The transcript has 14 exons. NCBI's taxonomy places the organism in Eukaryota, Metazoa, Chordata, Aves, Galliformes, Phasianidae.